This is a long non-coding RNA of Cyanistes caeruleus (blue tit), 462 nucleotides long. RefSeq lists it as uncharacterized. The record is from RefSeq and is a predicted model, not a curated record. NCBI's taxonomy places the organism in Eukaryota, Metazoa, Chordata, Aves, Passeriformes, Paridae.
CUUCACCGAGGCAAACGUUCAAGCGACACGAAACAAGGAGCUGCGCCUGUUUAACAAGGUGUACUCAAGCACUUUGGUGUUCAGCUGCUCUAAAAUAAUCCAAUUAUAUUUCAUCUGCUACCUAAAUAAUACUGUGGAAGAAUUUAAAGGCUACCAGAAUGAUACUGUUCAGAAAUUACAUCUUCCAGCUGGGAAUAGAACACAAUUGACAGUUACUCUACAAAAGGACAUGCCAAAUCUGUGCAGAUUCAGAUGAUUACAGGGGAAUGCAUGUUCUCAUGCACUACGUGGGCAGGAAGAACAGAAAAGAUGCAACGAUUCCAUGCUGGCUAUUCAACAAUUUCAUGUGGAGCAGGGUGAAUGAAGAGCUCCCCAUAAAAGAACAGAGCUUUCCGAGACAUGAACCAAGGAAAAGCAAUUUACCUCAAAACGCUCGUCCUCACACCUGUAGAUGUGCUCUUC